This is a long non-coding RNA of Capsicum annuum, 551 nucleotides long. RefSeq lists it as uncharacterized. The record is from RefSeq and is a predicted model, not a curated record. NCBI's taxonomy places the organism in Eukaryota, Viridiplantae, Streptophyta, Magnoliopsida, Solanales, Solanaceae. The transcript has 3 exons.
ACAAGUUUAAUAAUCCGAAUAUUAUUCUAACUAUUCCAUUCUCACAUAGUGUUGUUUCUACGCCAAUAAUAUUCUUAAUUCUAUCUCUAUUCAUUGUUUGAUAAUUGUUUUGGACAACUAGCUUUCGCACAACUCGAUUAAAUCCAUAACAAAUAUCAGGGAAAGAAUGAAUGGGGAAGUAUCAAGAUCACUGUCUGUUGAAAAUGCUAAGGAGCUUCUUGACUCUGUUGAUGCAUUUCCUCUUUGAUUGUGAUGGUUUAACAUUGUAUGCAUGUGAUCAUAGAUAUAUCAUGUGGGGUUGGGAAGACUACUGUAAUGAGAGAAGAAAGCUGACACUCAGCGACAUCUGCUUAAAUCUUGAUGACGAAAGAGCUUAAAGCUGAGAAAUGUGUACCUUUGAAUUAUUAUACAUUGGGUUGUGGCCUGUGCGUUUCCAUGUUUUGUUGUGACCGCCUUGAGGUUGUUACGUUGCUUUUGACGUAAAUACACAUUAUAUAGCAUUUUCUAUAUCCACUACUACUGUGGAAUCACAAGCAAAGUUAAUUUUCCAA